CCAAAGGUCCUUUUAAGGGCCACCCAAACGAUUUAUGGAGCAAAAU
Non-coding RNA from Takifugu rubripes (torafugu), 46 nucleotides. The record is from Rfam. Lineage: Eukaryota; Metazoa; Chordata; Actinopteri; Tetraodontiformes; Tetraodontidae.